Vicia villosa (hairy vetch) is the source of this 590-nucleotide long non-coding RNA. RefSeq lists it as uncharacterized. The transcript has 3 exons. The record is from RefSeq and is a predicted model, not a curated record. NCBI's taxonomy places the organism in Eukaryota, Viridiplantae, Streptophyta, Magnoliopsida, Fabales, Fabaceae.
AAAGCUUGAAAGCUAAUAUUCCAUGGAUGUUAGAUCCCACAGUUUGUGUGGCACUAGACAAUUUUGUAUCCUACAUAUACAUUCAGAUUAUUAUUAUUAUAGGUUUCUACUAACUUCUACCUGUUAGUACAUAUAUUGUUAGUACAUAUAUGAUAUAUGAUAUAACCUUAACAAUAUAUGACAAAUAAUUUCACAGUACAUCUACUAUCGAUACUUUUCCGGCAGAGAAGCGAGAAGUGAUGAUGAAGAAUAUCAUAGUGACAUACUAGAGCAGUGCUGCAGUUUGCAGGAUGGUUGUUGCAGAUGGUGUUUCUGAACAAAUGAAUCUACCAGAAGUUUCAGAACAAGUGUAUCUACCAGAAGCAGAAUUUGUCUCAUAAACAAGGUUUGCUUUUUUGUCUCCAUGGAGGCUCUAAAUGCUUUAAAGUUGCCAGUGAAGGUUAAGGCAGGUUUUCUCGGAUCAGUGAAACUUAAGGUUGAUGGAACAUUUUCUUUCUCAGAAACUUAGGAGUAUAUUGUAUUGAAUCUGGUUAGAUAUAGCUGAAUGAUCACUAUUCCGUUGUUUCUUCUUUUGAGUGGGUAUACUUAUC